This 505-nucleotide ribosomal RNA is filed under the name uncultured bacterium. Its description in RNAcentral is "partial 16S ribosomal RNA". It matches the Rfam family "Bacterial small subunit ribosomal RNA", at positions 28 to 507 of the family's 1533-position model. The record is from RNAcentral.
GACGAACGCUGGCGGCGUGCCUAAUACAUGCAAGUAGAACGCACAGUUUAUACCGUAGCUUGCUACACCAUACACUGUGAGUUGCGAACGGGUGAGUAACGCGUAGGUAACCUGCCUGGUAGCGGGGGAUAACUAUUGGAAACGAUAGCUAAUACCGCAUAAUAUUGAUUAUUGCAUGAUAAUUGAUUGAAAGAUGCUAUUGCAUCACUACCAGAUGGACCUGCGUUGUAUUAGCUAGUAGGUGAGGUAACGGCUCACCUAGGCGACGAUACAUAGCCGACCUGAGAUGGUGAUCGGCCACACUGGGACUGAGACACGGCCCAGACUCCUACGGGAGGCAGCAGUAGGGAAUAUUCGGCAAUAGACGAAAGUCUGACCGAGCAACGCCGCGUGAGUGAAGAAGGUUUUCGGAUCGUAAAGCUCUGUUGUAAGAGAAGAACGGGUGUGAGAGUGGAAAGUUCACACUGUGACGGUAUCUUACCAGAAAGGGACGGCUAACUACGUG